RNAcentral lists this ribosomal RNA (396 nucleotides) under uncultured bacterium. Its description in RNAcentral is "partial 16S ribosomal RNA". It matches the Rfam family "Bacterial small subunit ribosomal RNA", at positions 523 to 918 of the family's 1533-position model. The record is from RNAcentral.
AUACGUAGGUGGCAAGCGUUGUCCGGAAUUAUUGGGCGUAAAGCGCAUGUAGGCGGUUUGGUAAGUCGGUCGUGAAAAUGCGGUGCUUAACGCCGUAUGGCGAUUUAAACUGCUGAACUUGAGUGCAGGAGAGGAAAGGGGAACUCCCAGUGGAACGGUGAAAUUCGUAGAUAUUGGGAGGAACACCAGGGGCGAAGGCGACUUACUGGGCCGUAACUGACGCUGAGGCGCGAAAGCGUGGGGAGCGAACAGGAUUAGAUACCCUGGUAGUCCACGCGGUAAACGAUGAAUGCUAGGUGUUGCGGGUAUCGACCCCUGCAGUGCCGGAGUAAACACAAUAAGCAUUCCGCCUGGGGAGUACGGCCGCAAGGUUGAAACUUAAAUGAAUUGGCGGGG